UUGGCGUUGGAAUUUCCAAAAUAUCUGUUGUUACCAUGGAAACAAUGCAAAAAGGUCAAAACUUUGAAUUUUCACAGAACAUUCCAGAACAUCAAUGUUAAAUUUAUUCUAGAGACAUUAAAUGGUAUAUGAUGGUAUAUGAUUAUGGAGGGAAAAAAUUGCAGCGGGGGUUUGACUUUGGAAUAUUCAAAAUGGCCGCCGUUACCAUGGAAACAGCAAAAAUAUGAAAAACUUCAAAAUGCUUUAAAUUUAAUGAAACUUAUAACAAAUGUUGCCUAGCUUAUGUAGACUUGACUUUUGAGUUUGGAAUUUUCAAAA
This 318-nucleotide long non-coding RNA is filed under the name Mytilus galloprovincialis (Mediterranean mussel). Lineage: Eukaryota; Metazoa; Mollusca; Bivalvia; Mytilida; Mytilidae. The record is from RNAcentral.